RNAcentral lists this ribosomal RNA (180 nucleotides) under uncultured Glomeromycotina. Its description in RNAcentral is "partial small subunit ribosomal RNA". The stretch from base 40 to 180 matches the Rfam family "Eukaryotic small subunit ribosomal RNA", at positions 686 to 829 of the family's 1831-position model. Lineage: Eukaryota; Fungi; Glomeromycota. The record is from RNAcentral.
GGAUCAAUGGGUCGGUCGUGCCAAUGGUAUGUACUGGCCUCUUUGGUUCUCACCUUCUAAGGAACCGUGAUGUCAUUCAUUUGAUGUUGCGGGGAAUUAGGACUGUUACCUUGAAAAAAUUAGAGUGUUUAAAGCAGGCCAACGCUUGAAUACAUUAGCAUGGAAUAAUGAAAUAGGACA